This is a long non-coding RNA of Drosophila novamexicana, 2738 nucleotides long. RefSeq lists it as uncharacterized. The transcript is spliced from 3 exons. Lineage: Eukaryota; Metazoa; Arthropoda; Insecta; Diptera; Drosophilidae. The record is from RefSeq and is a predicted model, not a curated record.
GUCCUGAAGGAUUUACGUAAACAUUUUCUAAUCUGCACAUAUACUUUUCUGAAUUAUAUAUUUAAAUUUAAAUAUUAUUUUCUGAUGACAUGGUUCACGUGCAUUUUUUUCGAGUGUACGUCUGAUGCCUGAUGCUCACACUAAAUGCCUUUUUUUAGCUUACAAUUGAUUUCAGCAUCUUUGUUUGCUGUUUCUGGCAAGUGUUUGGCUUGAGGUAUCUUUGGGGUAUCUGCGGGCGCAGCAAAUCAAUCUGCAAACAUGCCGCCGCCAAGUGCCGACUCUGCAGACUGCGACUGCGACUGUGAUUGAGUCACGGAGUCGGAAGAGAAGAGUGAGUCUCUGGCCGGAUUUCACAGUGCAGUAUGUGGGUUGCGGUCGACGCAUCAGUUUCGGGCUGUUGUUGCAUUUUGGUGCCGUAAUAAAUACAUUUGGUAAAUUUUAAUGUCCUCCUCCCAUUUUUCAGUCAAUUUGAGCGGAACACUUGGAUUUGCCGCUGCCCUUUUUUGGGGCCACUUGCAAGUUACAGUUGCUUGGGAUUUGUGUGCGGUUUGGCAAUAAAUAUUUUGAAUCAGAAAACAUAUAAAUUUAGUGAUUUGCCGAGUCAGUGAAGUCGUCUCGCGGCGAGUAUCUUGUCUGGGACCUGCACUCUGUUGAGAAUGCACAUGCGCAUGAGAAGAGCUGCUGUAGCCGUGAUCGUGUUGCUUUAAAGGAUUCAACGUCGAACCGCAGUUCAGCAUAAAUUGUUCAUCUUCGACUGUCUGCAGCGGUUUGGACAUACCCAUUCCACCACACCUCUUUGGCCACGCGCCCCGGCCAUGCCAUAUUUAGGUCAACUCGAGUCGCGAUUCAUGCGGUAGCCAACAUUUAAAGGUUUAAUUCAAUGAAAGUUGCGUGCGUGCCUCCGACAAUGACGCCGAUGUUGGCCAUUGCAUUCACAAUGCCCAGAGAUACGGUUUUUCAUUUCUUCUGUAGGUGAAAUUAUGCAGUGCCUCAAUGCCAACUAAAUUGGCAGUAUGUGGCAGCGGCGUGAAAAUUUUUGUCCAGGCCAGAGUUCAGCAGGCCGAGCAGAGAAGCUCUUCCCCUUCUUUCUUUAGCUCCUUUCCUGGCCGGUCAUAAAUUUGAUUUUAAGCGUUGAGAAGCAGUGAAAGCGUCUACAAUUGACUGAACAGCAUUCUGAUCACAAGACGUACAGAAAGAUAUCUCUGGGGUUAUUAUAAAAUAGAAGUUAGGCUCGAUAAAUGUCAACUAAGCUAGAAAUAACUGAUUAAAACCACGUGUAUAUCAAAUGCGUAGUAAAGAAAGCUUAGUCUUCUAAGGAAAGAACCGUGAUGUUCUCGGUGAUAAUUACGAUUUUGAACCAAACUAGAAAAAAAUGUGGUGUCAGAUAUGUCAAAUUAGGUAUGUAGGUUCUCGUACAGUAAGCAAAUAUCAAGAAUAUUUCGAUUUUCGAUACCUUUACCGAUCUCCAUAGAAAAUUAUAAGUUUACAUAAUUUUGAACGGAAGAACCUAGCGCUUGCGUAGCAUUUGGGACCUGGUAAGCUUGGGAAAUAAUCCCAGAAAAUAGACAUCCAUAUGUAUGUUCUCUGAUGAAUUUUAAUAUCCGAUAGUCGCAAGCAUCGAUACUCCCAAUAGAAUUAAAUAUUUAUAUGAAGGUAUUGCAAUUUUCAGCGAAUACAUUUAAAUCUGUUGGCAGAAGCAAAAGAAGUCCGUACUUUAUUAUAUUGAGUCUAAUAUCCUUUAGGCUAACCACUCAACAAGAGUGUUUGGACGAAUGAAAUUUUCGCGCAAAGAGUGGGCGUAAACCCAGCCAACACUUGAAUGCUCGUUGUGGUGCACAAUUACGCCAUUUGCCAAAAUCAAACUAUCAACUUUGACACUCAUUAGCGUCAAAUUACAGCACGAGCAAAAGACAGGCGGGGGUGGCCAGUGGGUUGGCGGUGAGCAACGCCACAGCAGACCGCACAAAAACCUCGUAAAUUCAUAAAAGCAAUCGUAAAUUUUUAUUGUCAUGCCACUUGCCAGCCAACAGCAGCAACCGUUGCACAAUGAGGGAAAAUGCCGGCCAAGCUGAGAACUUUUCUCGAGGGAAAACUGAACACCAAGCAGACAUCGACGAUGUCGGCGACAAAAGACGACGACGCCAGUUUUCCAGUCGGUUGGCUGCUUGGACUCGAAGCUGGCUGGCAUAUUAAGCCAGCGUGCACAUAUUUCAUAACAAAAUUUAUGAAGGGCCGUUAACUUUAAGAAUCUUUUGCGCAAUUUACUCGCAAGCGGCAAUAGGAGGGAGCCUGGCCAAAAGUUGCCAAGAAGCGAACGUCGCGCUGCGCCAAAGUAACGCCAAUUUUUCGUCUAACAAUUGGCGACGACCUAAUGCCCCGUUUGGCAAUCGAACCUGAAGCUGCAGUUUGAGUCGCCAGCCAGAGCUUACACCCCCAUUGCCCUGCUCUGCCCCUACCCAGGCACUUGUAGGUACAAGUUGCAGGCACAGUAAGCUCAUGAAGUUCACAUGAAUGCCAUGAAACAAUAAAUUAUGUUAUUAAUAAAUAAUAAAUGUAAUGGGAGACUGCAAUUGCUGGCGAGAUGCAGCUACCUGUUUUUUUUCUCAUUUUUGUUCCUUGUGCAGUGAAUGGAGAGGGGCACGACGUGCUCCAUUAUUAUUAUGUGCCCGGUUAACUACUGUGUCAAAGAGCCGCCUUGGCAAAUAAACUAAAUCCAGCAACUAAAGAAGUGCCAACGA